AUUUUACAACAAAAUAAUUCGCCAGAGGACUACUAGCAAUAGCUUAAAACUCAAAGGACUUGGCGGUGCUUUAUAUCCCUCUAGAGGAGCCUGUUCUAUAAUCGAUAAACCCCGAUAAACCUCACCAC
This 128-nucleotide ribosomal RNA is filed under the name Canis lupus (wolf). Its description in RNAcentral is "partial small subunit ribosomal RNA". Lineage: Eukaryota; Metazoa; Chordata; Mammalia; Carnivora; Canidae. The record is from RNAcentral.